CUGUAAAUAUAUACCGUAAACUUUGCAUUUCAUUUUUUUAAUCACUUCUCAUCUCUGUUCUCUUUCUUUCUCUGUCUCUCACGUUCCCAAUCCAGGAAAAAUUGAUCUCUCUCUCACAUACCACGGCCGGUCUCACUUCAAGGUCCGUCCUGCCGUCACUCGCCACCACCAUCGCAGCUGUGAUUUUUUCUUCUCGCGAUAUCAGUCUCUCUCUCUCACCGAUUUCCCUCUUUCUCAUGGUGUAGUCUCAAAUCGCAUGUUUUGGGUAAAGAUUUGUUGGCUUUUGGGUUUGCUAGAAAGGCAGAAGUUGGGUUUUGAUAUUUGAGAAGCUAAAAAAUGCAGAAGCUGAAAUUUUUGUUGGGUUUUGAUAUUUGAGAAGCUGGGUUUUGGGGGUUUUGUUGAGAGAUUGGAGUGGAAGAAAGUUGAUUUGAAAGAAAAUGUCCAUGGCAGUGGGUAUCUGUUUUGGGUUAGAUUUGGGUAUAGGUAUUUGAUAUUUGAGAAGUUUGUGGGGUUUUUUUGGUUUUGCUUUGACUGGGUUUUUUCCUGCCUAUUUGGCUUCAAACUUGCUGUAAAUUUCAGUUGAUGGGGGCGGUAUGUUUGCAGUUUUGGGUUGUGGUCUUUGGCAAGGAAGAGAGAGAGACAUGAUUUAAGCUAAUAAUAAAAAAAAUUGAAAAAAAUAGUAUUUUAAUGAAAUGUAGCGUAAAAUAGACGGAAAAUUUUGCACGAACGGGUGCGAUUACUUACUUUCUCUCUACCCAAACACAAAUUAAGUAAAAAUGUCUUCUCCAUCUCCAUGUUCUUCUUCUGGGUCUUCUCAAAGGUACCGCAUAGGCUACGCUCUUUCAGCCAAAAAAGUUCAAAGCUUCAUCCAAAACUCUUUAGUCAACCAAGCCAAACAACGCGGCAUCGAUCUCAUCAAAAUCGACUCCACAAAACCCUUAACCCAACAGGGACCGUUCGAUUGCGUCAUCCACAAACUCUACAGCAGCCCCGAUUGGAAAGACCAAUUGCGGCAACUCUCUCUCCAUCAGCCAAACGUCGUCGUAAUCGACUCUCCGGAAUCCAUCGAGCGUCUCCACGAUCGAACCUCCAUGCUCGAUGUGGUUACCAGCUUGAAAAUCCCUCAAGGGAGCCAAACGUUUGAGGUUCCAAAUCAGAGAGUGGUGCAUGAGUCUGAGAAUCUUAUGGAUUCGAUUGAAGAAACAGGGUUGAAGUUUCCCUUGAUAGCGAAACCGGUAACGGCCGACGGCAGUGCCACGUCGCACGAGAUGUCCUUGGUGUUCAACGAGAACGGGUUGAAGAUGCUGAAAACACCAAUUGUGAUGCAAGAAUUUGUAAACCACGGUGGAGUGAUUUUCAAGGUGUAUGUGGUGGGAGAACACGUUAAAUGCGUGAAGAGGAGAUCAUUGCUGGAUAUAUCUGAAGAAAAACUGAAUAGUACGGCGGCGGAUGAGGGUUUGUUGUCGUUUUCACAGAUAUCGAAUUUGGUCGCGAAAAAUGAGUUUGGGGGAUGUUCUGAGCUGGAGAAGGCUGUUAUUGCGAGAAAUAAAGGGAAGGGAUUUUGUUGCUCUGAAGUGGAUGAGCUCGUGGAGAAGGCGGAAAUGCCACCUUUGGAGUUUGUGAUGGGGUUAGCCCAUGGGUUGAGGGAGGCACUGGUGCUGAGGCUUUUUAACUUUGAUUUGAUUAGGGAUAGUCGAGAUGGGAAUAGGUACUUUGUUAUUGAUAUCAAUUACUUUCCUGGGUAUGCUAAAAUGCCUGACUAUGAGUCGGUUUUGGUGGACUUUUUUUGUGAUCUUGUGGAAGAGAAGAGGAGGAAGGUGGAAUUGGAUGUGAAGGAGAAUCAAGAGGUGAGAUGUGGUGAGAUUGAAGAGAAAAAUCACUUGUGUGAAUAAUGCUGUGUGUGUGUGUGUGUGUGUGUGAAUAAGCAAGAUAACGCUGUUGGGUUAAUAUGGUUUACUCAGCUGUAUGGAUCAAGUCAUUCAGCUCAAGUCCUAAUGCUCGAGUGCCUUUUUGUCUUUUUGUGUGAAUUCCAUAUAUUGUUUUGAUUUCGCUAGAAGGAGGUACCUUUCAAAUAGUUGAAGGCUUGAAGCCCGAAUUCAAUCCACCUUUCGGUUACUUGAAGUGCUAAUUUAAGGGAAAUGUUUUGCCAAGUAUGUUCAGGGCAUUGUUUCUUGUGGUACGUUUUACUGGCCGCUGCACAGAUGAGACCCCUUCUGUUCUAAUCUUAUGUUAAGUAAUUGUGAAGGAAGUUUUUGUUAGUGACUGUCCUCUGUCCAAUGCUAGACUCUGAUCUUCAUACUGACUGUGGACUAGCAUUACAUUAUUGUGAGUUUGUUACCUCCCCCCUUUUUUUUUUCCUGAUAAUUAUUUAAGUUAUUGGAAAAAUAAGGUGCUGGUGUCAGGGUUUGGUCAUUCUAGUAGCAUCUUACUGUUAAAAUAAAUGGGAAGGGGGUGGGGAGGUUAGUUCAGUAUUUUGCCAAUCUUAUAUUUGAUUUCUGAUUUUGGGUGCUCCCAGCACCAUGGUGUUCUAUGGAGUUGCAGUGAUUCCAUUGUGAUUUGAUGACAUGUAAUCCAUUUCCAAACAUUAGACAUGAUAAAUGACUUCAUUUUUUUUUUUUUUUUUUUGGGUCAUUUUUUGGCACUCCUGAUUGUAUCUUAAGCUUCCCUCUUCAGUAAUGUGUGGCAUGCACCUUCAUGAACAAAUUUUUAUGGAUUCUGCUAUUUCAAAAUCAAUUGGAGAUCUUUGCAAA
Molecule: RNA transcript, 2750 nt
Organism: Quercus robur (English oak)
Lineage: Eukaryota; Viridiplantae; Streptophyta; Magnoliopsida; Fagales; Fagaceae
Gene name: inositol-tetrakisphosphate 1-kinase 1-like
Exons: 3
Source: RefSeq, a predicted model, not a curated record